RNAcentral lists this ribosomal RNA (506 nucleotides) under uncultured bacterium. RNAcentral describes it as "bacterial SSU rRNA". It matches the Rfam family "Bacterial small subunit ribosomal RNA", at positions 8 to 507 of the family's 1533-position model. The record is from RNAcentral.
AGAGUUUGAUCAUGGCUCAGGAUGAACGCUAGCGGCAGGCCUAACACAUGCAAGUCGAGGGGCAGCACGAUUGAGCUUGCUUAAUUGGUGGCGACCGGCGCACGGGUGCGUAACGCGUAUGCAACCUACCUUAUACUGGGGUAUAGCCCGGAGAAAUUCGGAUUAAUCCCCCAUAGUAUUAUUGAAUGGCAUCAUUUGAUAAUUAAAGGCUACGGUAUAAGAUGGGCAUGCGUCCCAUUAGCUAGAUGGUGAGGUAACGGCUCACCAUGGCGACGAUGGGUAGGGGGCCUGAGAGGGUGGUCCCCCACACUGGUACUGAGACACGGACCAGACUCCUACGGGAGGCAGCAGUGAGGAAUAUUGGUCAACGGGCGCAAGCCUGAACCAGCCAUGCCGCGUGCAGGAAGACGGCCCUAUGGGUCGUAAACUGCUUUUGAACGGGAAGAAAUCUAUUUACGUGUAAAUAGUUGACGGUACCGUUAGAAUAAGGAUCGGCUAACUUCGUG